GAUGAACGCUAGCUACAGGCUUAACACAUGCAAGUCGAGGGGCAUCAGGAAGAAAGCUUGCUUUCUUUGCUGGCGACCGGCGCACGGGUGAGUAACACGUAUCCAACCUGCCCUUUACUCGGGGAUAGCCUUUCGAAAGAAAGAUUAAUACCCGAUAGUAUAAUGAUUCCGCAUGGUUUCAUUAUUAAAGGAUUCCGGUAAAGGAUGGGGAUGCGUUCCAUUAGGUUGUUGGUGAGGUAACGGCUCACCAAGCCUUCGAUGGAUAGGGGUUCUGAGAGGAAGGUCCCCCACAUUGGAACUGAGACACGGUCCAAACUCCUACGGGAGGCAGCAGUGAGGAAUAUUGGUCAAUGGUCGGCAGACUGAACCAGCCAAGUCGCGUGAGGGAAGACGGCCCUACGGAUUGUAAACUUCUUUUAUAAGGGUAAUAAACCCUCCCACGUGUGGGAGCUUGUAUGUACCUUAUGAAUAAGCAUCGGCUAACUCCGUG
Molecule: ribosomal RNA, 490 nt
Filed under: uncultured bacterium
Lineage: Bacteria
Description: bacterial SSU rRNA
Rfam family: Bacterial small subunit ribosomal RNA
Source: RNAcentral